Molecule: long non-coding RNA, 4903 nt
Organism: Pecten maximus
Lineage: Eukaryota; Metazoa; Mollusca; Bivalvia; Pectinida; Pectinidae
Exons: 2
Source: RefSeq, a predicted model, not a curated record
CAAACAACUAGCCACUAACUCAAGACAUCAAUAAGUGAAUUCGGACAAACAACUUCCACUAAACUCAAGACAUCAAUAAGUGAAUUCGGACAAACAACUCCACUGAACUCAAGACAUCAAUAAGUGAAUUCGGACAAACAACUUCCACUAAACUCAAGACAUCAAUAAGUGAAUUCGGACAAACAACUUCCACUAAACUCAAGACAUCAAUAAGUGAAUUCAGACAAACAACUUCCACUAAACUCAAGACAUCAAUAAGUGAAUUCAGACAAACAACUUCCACUGAACUCAAGACAUCAAAUAAGUGAAUUCGGACAAACAACUUCCACUGAACUCAAGACAUCAAUAAGUGAAUUCGGACAAACAACUUCCACUAAACUCAAGACAUCAAUAAGUGAAUUCAGACAAACAACUUCCACUGAACUCAAGACAUCAGUAAAUGAAUUCAGACAAACAACUUCCACUGAACUCAAGACAUCAAUAAGUGAAUUCGGACAAACAACUUCCACUAAACUCAAGACAUCAAAUAAGUGAAUUCGGACAAACAACAACCACAGAACUCAAGACAUCAAUAAGUGAAUUCGGACAAACAACUUCCACUGAACUCAAGACAUCAAAUAAGUGAAUUCGGACAAACAACAACCACAGAACUCAAGACAUCAAUAAGUGAAUUCGGACAAACAACUUCCACUGAACUCAAGACAUCAAUAAGUGAAUUCGGACAAACAACUUCCACUAAACUCAAGACAUCAAUAAGUGAAUUCGGACAAACAACUUCCACUGAACUCAAGACAUCAAAUAAGUGAAUUCAGACAAACAACUUCCACUGAACUCAAGACAUCAAUAAAUGAAUUCAGACAAACAACUUCCACUGAACUCAAGACAUCAAUAAGUGAAUUCGGACAAACAACUUCCACUAAACUCAAGACAUCAAAUAAGUGAAUUCGGACAAACAACUACCACAGAACUCAAGACAUCAAUAAGUGAAUUCGGACAAACAACUUCCACUGAACUCAAGACAUCAAAUAAGUGAAUUCGGACAAACAACAACCACAGAACUCAAAACAUCAAUAAGUGAAUUCGGACAAACAACUUCCACUGAACUCAAAACAUCAAUAAGUGAAUUCGGACAAACAACUUCCACUGAACUCAAAACAUCAAUAAGUGAAUUCGGACAAACAACUUCCACUGAACUCAAGACAUCAAUAAGUGAAUUAAGACAAACAACAACCACAGAACUCAAGACAUCAAAUAAGUGAAUUAAGACAAACAACUACCACAGAACUCAAGACAUCAAAUAAGUGAAUUUGGACAAACAACUACCAUUGAAUAUGAAAUAAAUACAUUCAGAUCCAACAGAAAAACUUUCGAGUUUUCUAAGUUAGCGCAUAAGGAACAUCAAAAGCAGGUCACGAGGGGACGAGCUUGAUACACCGCUUAUACUGAGGUCGUUAACAUAGAUAUAUCAUAAUGAAGUGAAUCAGAUAGUAGCAUCAUGAACUUUAAAAUCUUUGUAAAAUGUAUUUCUUUGAAUCGCAUUACAAAACGGGUCACACUGGAAAAAAUUGUCUCGUGUCACACACACAAAAAUAGUUCGGCUUUAGUUUAAUAGUUUGCCUUUUUUUAGCGGUUAUGCUUUAUAUUAGCUUAACGCACAUUUGAAAAGACUUCCAAAUUGUUUGUUACAGAUACAGACAUACCUAUGUUUACGACAUGAAAUCGACUUAAUCAUCAUUGCAUUUCACGCUGAAAUAUUUAAAAAUGUAGUGAUGCACGUCUACUUACAUCACAGUAAAUGAUUGUGUUAUGAUAUAGUAGUCAUUCUUAUGUAUAUUUGACAAUAAUACAAAACCAAAAUUUAGCAAUAUUGUUUAGGCUUUACAUACAUAUUUACAAUACGAUUUUGUAAAAUCUUAUUUUUACGGUCAUAGAACACGUUUUCUAAGCGUGCUUUAGACGUUGAUGUUUAGUGGUAAGGAGAAUAAAUAUCCCAUGAAAAUGUAUGCUUCCAGUUUGCAUCAUAUAUUACACAAAAUAUUGAGUAUUGAAACCUGAGUGAUUUGUUCUUAAUUAUGUUAUAUUGUACAGUGUAGAUUGCAAAUAAUUGUUUUCGUACAAGUGGAAAAUGUGCCAAUCUUUAAAGAAUGCGGACAGUUUUGACAACUUCCUUUCUGAAACCGAAAGACGUUUAAGUAUCCUCCCUAUACAUACACUCACCAAGCGCUGAGUAGCUCGCACAGAGAGGCCAUCCUUUAAUGAUCAAGGACCUUAAAGAACAUAAAACCUACUAAAUUUUCUUGAAAAAUAGCACGACUGUACUUUUACUGCACUUCUACAUGAACUAAACUUGCUUCAAACAAUUCAAAAUAAUCUUCAAUUAGCAACUUUAAUUAGUGGAAUUAAAAACCGAUCCCGUUUAGGUUCUUAUCUAUUUCCACAAUUUAUGAAAAGUUCGAUUUUUAUAGGAAAAGAAUUCAGCUCGUAAGACUUUGUAAACUACGGAGUACAAUGUAUGUCAUACAAACGAAUGUUUUAUCUAUUCCGAUAUCAACUCUGUUAUCUUCAAUCGAAUUUUAUUAUUGAAAUAGGAAAUAAACAAUUUGAAAUCGCUAAGAACCUAUAAUUUCAUUACAGCACGUCUGAGGAUUGAUCAAAUAAUUCAAUAAAAUCCGACAACUAAAAGGGGGAAAAUCCUGUUCCGUGAAGGAAGUGAUUCGAACGCUUAGAUCAUCAGAAAUUACCCGUUAAUAAAAAAAAAGGGGACAAUUACUAAAAAUAAAUAUGUAAGAAAUAUCAUAUUUUUUAGACUUUAUACUUAUAUUUAAAAAAUAAAUACUUGAAAAAAAAAAGAAGAAAAAAAGUAAUAUAAACAUUUUUCAUUAUGUUAAUUUAUCGUUAAAUGAGUUUGUUGUUAAUUAUCCUUAAACUUUAAUGAUGCUGUUAAUUUAGCCAUGCUUCGUACUCCGUGGGUUAGCCUUACCUACUAUCGCCCGGAGGAGUGAGUUCAUUAAUACAUAAGGAUAUAACCUUACCACGAACCACGUUAGGGUACCCGAGGCCAACUAAGUUUGUUUGAUCUCUACCGCCAAUGAAUACAUCCGAUAUGAUUAAGAUGGAGUUUGAUACUUGUCACACAAUUUAUUUAAUUAGUGGCACGAUUCAUACCUUACACAAAUUGUUGUACGUUCUUUUAAAAUAUAAUAAUGAAAAUUACUUAAUUAAUAGAAUAAAGGGGUGCUGUACCUCCACAUAUAGAAUUUACCAUAUAUCUCGGCCUAGUUAUCUACACUUUAGACUAUAAACCACUGACGAGUCCUAAAGCAGGAAAUGCUUGUGUGGUGCAGUUAAUUUUUUCUCUCUCUAUUGCAUCUAACGCUUAAUUUGUAUUUAAACUGAUCAUCAUAUUACUUAGAUCGACUCUGAUACAAUAAAACAAUUGGCAUUGCCCAAUGUUUCUAACAGGUAUAUUUGUAUGGAUGUAAAUUUGUGGAUUUUCUUCAUCGUCAUUAUUGAACAGUAAGUCAUCCUACCUAUUCAUAAUCCAUUAAUUGUCUCUAUCAUUUACCUCUUCUUCCAUCAAAUCGCUCUUCAAUACUAUCAAACAUUACCCGUAAGCGUAAGUUUACUCAGUUCAUCUUGCCAGCAAUCUCCUCUUCAGGCAUGAUGUUCUUCUUUAGAUUACUCCCAAAAUAUGUCUUCAUGUUUUCCUUGAGCUUUGCUUUCCUCAUUCAACGUGAAGUUCUUUCUUCAUACAGUUUAAUAGCAAAGAUAAACUGGUACCAGUAUAAAUCACUCGAUGCAUGAAUGGAGGUACUUUUACCUACAAAAACUUAUCGUAGUAAACGUACAAAUCGAACUGUACAUAAACAUCCGAAAUAACCAGAAGAUAUAUUAUAUAAUCCGUGAUUGAGUUAUCACUAGACAUAUUCAAAGUUCGUCACAGUAUAACUGUGUAUUAGAUAGGAUAUAUAUGGUAUAUAGGACUACUCGGCGUUUUGAUAUCAACAGUGUGAAGUUUAUCGGCAAACGUGUGAAAUAUCAAGCAGAAUUUUGUUGGUGGCGGUUCAAUGGUUGGAACAUGAUUUGAUUAUCAUAAACAGACACACACAAACGGUUUCAAACUUUGAAGGAUCAAAAUCAGCGACCCUAUUCUACCAUUUCUUGUAUUCGUUUAAAGAAACAUAAGAACUUCUAUUGGCGCAUGGAACAGAAAGGAAUUCCAUUUAUGCUGUUAUAUUCAACAAGGCGGUGGAUUUGAAACUUGAAAUAGUGAUUUCAUUCUCAGUAUCAAGCCAGAGGAGCGAGGAAAAACAAAUGCCAUACUAAUGAGAAAGUAACUAUAAUACAUGUGUUAUAAUUUUAUCUGAUCGGAAAGAUAGGAUUAAACUAUAUACAAUAUUGUUUAUGUUUUACACGUCCUUCAGAAGGCAGGUAAAUACUAGAUGAACUUGGGAUAUGAAAACAAUACCUAAAAUUGCUUACAAUCGAAGUGCGGAGAACAUUUGAGGAUAAAUUCAUCUGUCAAAUCUACUAGUGCGAGACUGAAACAAACAGAGCAGGAAAUGGUCCCUCGUAAUCAGUUGUUGUUUAUUUUGACAUGCGCAUUACUGUGUUUGUUUGUUUCCGGUCAGUUUUCACCCACCCAGAUUAACCAGUUGGUUAAUAAGUUACAGUUAAUGAUUUCUGGGACAAGUGAAACAGUCCAGGAACAGAGACCUUUCCCUGUGGCGAUCGCCUCAGUUGUCGGGGUGGGCGUUGUCACUCUGACUUUGAUGUCGUUUGGUGGAGCUUUUGGUUAACUCAAACUGAUAUUCCGAGAACAAAUCAAUACUUUUCAUGAUAUUUUUUGUUUUGUCAAACGCUAUGAAUGUAUUGUUUUUCAAACAAUGUCUUUCCAAUGGUU